GGGUUUGUAUCAGUGAUAUGGGUUUUAUAUAAUAUAAUUAGGGCUAGCAAUUUUGGCUAGUUUGUGCAAUUGGCAUAACAUCUACGGUUGAAAAUUUAAUAUUGUUUGGAUUAUUGGAUGUGCUAAGUGUAUACAAAAUUUUGUGAUAAUCUAACGGCGUGGUUUAGAGAUAUCUAGUUUUUAGCACAAGAGGGUUUCAGAAUGUGGCAGUUUGAGGUUGAGUAGGGUUUCUAUGAUAUCUAAAGAUCUAUUAGUCGGAUUAAGGUGAAAAUUGGCAUAGUGUUGAAGGACUUGAUGAUCAAGCUACACAUCAAUUUUGAGACAAAUUUAAUGGUUGGAGAAGGAGAAAUCAUUGCUGGGAUCUCUACUUCACUUUUCAAGUUGGCGGCCAAGUGACAUAUGUGCAAUUUUUGGAGGUUUUCUCACAAUCUGUAAGUUGGAUUGGGCUAAAAAUUCUUGAGUAUUCAAAAGACUUGCAUUGACAAUUGUAAGCAAAAUUUCACAUUAAGUGGACGGUCGGAUUGGAUGUUACAGCUUGUUAAAGCUUACUAAUUAGGAUUGGAGUUUACAAGAAAAAUCUAAAUUGUUUAAAUUUGAAAGUAACAAGGUAAUUGGGAUUUGUAUAUGGUUAAGACUAAUAAGAAGAGUGUUUUAAGCACUUUUGAAUUGAAAUUCAGAUUAUAUUCUUCUUGAAUGGAUGAAACCUAUUAGGGUUUCUUGACUACUUGUGAAACAUAAUCUCACCUUCCACAGCUAAGUGCCUGGUGCAUUCUUGAGUAAAACAACAUGUAAUAAGAAUUUUAUAGAGAAAACAAUGACAAGAAAAAAGAAUAUGAAAAUGAAAAUAUAAUAGACAAUAUGGUAUUAGAAUAUUUUCAAAAAAAUCUAGAUUGCAC
RNAcentral lists this long non-coding RNA (896 nucleotides) under Physcomitrium patens. RNAcentral's name for it is "long non-coding RNA (PPAT_LNC009989)". The record is from RNAcentral. Lineage: Eukaryota; Viridiplantae; Streptophyta; Bryopsida; Funariales; Funariaceae.